This 525-nucleotide ribosomal RNA is filed under the name Lactobacillus sp. RNAcentral's name for it is "bacterial SSU rRNA". It matches the Rfam family "Bacterial small subunit ribosomal RNA", at positions 405 to 923 of the family's 1533-position model. The record is from RNAcentral. Lineage: Bacteria; Bacillati; Bacillota; Bacilli; Lactobacillales; Lactobacillaceae.
GUGAAGAAGGUUUUCGGAUCGUAAAACUCUGUUGUUGGAGAAGAACGUAUUUGAUAGUAACUGAUCAGGUAGUGACGGUAUCCAACCAGAAAGCCACGGCUAACUACGUGCCAGCAGCCGCGGUAAUACGUAGGUGGCAAGCGUUGUCCGGAUUUAUUGGGCGUAAAGCGAGCGCAGGCGGUUUCUUAAGUCUGAUGUGAAAGCCUUCGGCUCAACCGAAGAAGUGCAUCGGAAACUGGGAAACUUGAGUGCAGAAGAGGACAGUGGAACUCCAUGUGUAGCGGUGAAAUGCGUAGAUAUAUGGAAGAACACCAGUGGCGAAGGCGGCUGUCUGGUCUGUAACUGACGCUGAGGCUCGAAAGCAUGGGUAGCAAACAGGAUUAGAUACCCUGGUAGUCCAUGCCGUAAACGAUGAGUGCUAGGUGUUGGAGGGUUUCCGCCCUUCAGUGCCGCAGCUAACGCAUUAAGCACUCCGCCUGGGGAGUACGACCGCAAGGUUGAAACUCAAAGGAAUUGACGGGCCCG